GGGGGGGGGUGGGUGAAACACAUGCAACGUUCUGAUGUUUGUAAUACCUUUUUGUCUUUUAUUCCUGAGAGAAUCUUUUUUCUUGACUUUUCGUUCUGUCUUAAACUGUGAUGGCAGUCUGUAAUGAAAGGCUGCUCCGUCAGGGAAUGCUUAAUGUUCCUAAUUGAAUUGUGUAAGGGCUGAAGGAGCAACGCCUUCUGCGAUUGGGGCUCUGAGGUAAUGCGGUUCGAAAGGAAGCACAGAGAGUCCACCAGGACCGACUCUGCUGUUCUUUUUUUCUUUGAUACAUUUUUAUCUCCCUCAGACCACAAGGUGAAAACACGGUACUGGUGUGCAGAAAACCGUUUGCUAUUAAAACUGUUUCCUAUUAAAA
Molecule: long non-coding RNA, 373 nt
Organism: Gadus macrocephalus (Pacific cod)
Lineage: Eukaryota; Metazoa; Chordata; Actinopteri; Gadiformes; Gadidae
Exons: 2
Source: RefSeq, a predicted model, not a curated record